This is a long non-coding RNA of Sarcophilus harrisii (Tasmanian devil), 347 nucleotides long. RefSeq lists it as uncharacterized. The transcript has 2 exons. NCBI's taxonomy places the organism in Eukaryota, Metazoa, Chordata, Mammalia, Dasyuromorphia, Dasyuridae. The record is from RefSeq and is a predicted model, not a curated record.
GAGACUGGGCGAGGGCUGAGCACAGCGCAGAGCAAGCAGGAGCUGGGCAAGCGCGAGCCAGCCGCAGCCCCAUUCUGAAUGCCAGAGACCCUACCCUAGCAGGGGCUGUUCUUUCCUCUUGCCCCCUCCCACCGGGGAAGCGAAGGUGGGCGGAGUCACGAUUCAAGUGUGGGAGUCUCGGGAUUCCAGCUUCCUUCGCGGAUGCCCGCUCUUUCGGCACUCCCCAGCAACCUUUUUCUAAGUCUCCUUCCCUGCCCCACCAGCACCUAACUUGGCCAAUCACGGAGCCCGGACCCUGGGAGAGGGGCUUUUGUCUUUGUGACUUUCCUAGCGGGAGGGGAGUGGAG